This 358-nucleotide RNase P RNA is filed under the name Bacterioplanes sanyensis. RNAcentral describes it as "Bacterial RNase P class A". It matches the Rfam family "Bacterial RNase P class A". Rfam says of the family: Ribonuclease P (RNase P) is a ubiquitous endoribonuclease, found in archaea, bacteria and eukarya as well as chloroplasts and mitochondria. Lineage: Bacteria; Pseudomonadati; Pseudomonadota; Gammaproteobacteria; Oceanospirillales; Oceanospirillaceae. The record is from Rfam by way of RNAcentral.
GGAGUCGGCCAGACAAUCGCUGCCUGCAUUGCAGGGGGAGGAAAGUCCGGGCUUCACAGGGUAAGGUGCCAGGUAACGCCUGGGGGGCGCGAGCCUACGGAAAGUGCAGCAGAGAGUAGACCGCCGAUGGCUUUGCUAACGCGAAGCACAGGUAAGGGUGAAAGGGUGCGGUAAGAGCGCACCGCGCGACUGGUAACAGCUCGUGGCACGGUAAACCCCACCCGAAGCAAGACCAAAUAGGUUCCCUACAGGCGUGGCCCGCGCUGGGAACGGGUAGGUUGCUGGAGCCUGCGAGUGAUUGCAGGCCUAGACGAAUGAUUGUCCACGACAGAACCCGGCUUAUCGGCCGACUCCACCU